CCCUUAGAUGUUCUGGGCCGCACGCGCGCUACACUGAUGCAUUCAACGAGUCCAUCCUUGACCGAGAGGUCCGGGUAAUCUUUGAAACUGCAUCGUGAUGGGGCUAGAUUAUUGCAAUUACUAAUCUUCAACGAGGAAUGCCUAGUAAGCGUGAUUCAUCAAAUCGCGUUGAUUACGUCCCUGCCCUUUGUACACACCGCCCGUCGCUCCUACCGAUUGAGUGUGUUGGUGAGGAGUUUGGAUUGGCCUCGGAAGGUGGUUCGCCACCGUCCGUAGCUGAGAAGUUCUCCAAACCGCCCCACUUAGAGGAAGGAGAAGUCGUAACA
Molecule: ribosomal RNA, 326 nt
Filed under: uncultured eukaryote
Lineage: Eukaryota
Description: partial 18S ribosomal RNA
Rfam family: Eukaryotic small subunit ribosomal RNA
Source: RNAcentral